AGCAGCAGCCACGGUAAUACAGAGGGUGCGAGCGUUAAUCGGAUUUACUGGGCGUAAAGCGUGCGUAGGCGGCUUCUUAAGUCGGAUGUGAAAUCCCUGAGCUUAACUUAGGAAUUGCAUUCGAUACUGGGAAGCUAGAGUAUGGGAGAGGAUGGUAGAAUUCCAGGUGUAGCGGUGAAAUGCGUAGAGAUCUGGAGGAAUACCGAUGGCGAAGGCAGCCAUCUGGCCUAAUACUGACGCUGAGGUACGAAAGCAUGGGGAGCAAACAGGAUUAGAUACCCGUGUAGUCCCUGUCUCUUAUAC
Molecule: ribosomal RNA, 303 nt
Filed under: uncultured bacterium
Lineage: Bacteria
Description: partial 16S ribosomal RNA
Rfam family: Bacterial small subunit ribosomal RNA
Source: RNAcentral